RNAcentral lists this long non-coding RNA (1359 nucleotides) under Mus musculus (house mouse). Its description in RNAcentral is "long non-coding RNA chr2:180043225-180044584". The record is from RNAcentral. Lineage: Eukaryota; Metazoa; Chordata; Mammalia; Rodentia; Muridae.
AGCCUGGAGGCGCGCCGCUGCGGCGAGCUGGCCGCUCUUGUGAGGUACUGCGGUGCCCUGCACAAAGGAACGCAUCCAAAGUGUGCGUGCCAUUUCCAGAGCCCGCACCGCUGUCCAGAGCUUGCUGCACGCGGCGGACUUGAGGCUAGCGCAGCCCCGCCCCCGCUCGGGCCACUGGGUAUCCGCGAGCCUCGCCUUCUGCACCCUGGCUUCAGACACCGCAGGUUUGUCCUGCAGUCUCUCAGUUUCAUCCUUUAGUUUGGGCCAGUUUCUCAGAGAAGGCGUUUGCGUGGGUGUGUGGACGUCUUUAACAAAAGGAAGCUUUAAGUUUUGGCUUGGACACUUUAGCUUCUUACUGUUUGCCUUCGCGGUUCCAGGCAUCUUUCUUACGCGAUGGCUUUUCCUAAUUCUGGUUCCUUUUACAGAAUUCUUGAAUUCUUUUGAGCCAGUUAGUUCCCAAAGGAAAUUGGCCUCUCUACUCCCUCAGAGGCUUGUGGGGAUUUUCUUCGCUUGUCGCCUGUUUCCCAGAUCACCCUUGCUAUCCUCCUUAGGAACAUAAUGGUUAUCACUGUUGGCAAGUCCUAGUUAGCAGGGGAGAUUAUUGGAGGAAAGCAGAAAUGCAGGUUUUAUAGAUCUUGCCACAUUUAACUUUUUGCAGAAGUGACUUAGUGAAGGAGGCUACAGAGGCUACGUGGUAAAGCUAAUAGUAGCCCUUCCGUGUGGCUCCACAGGCUGCUGUCUGUGUGGCCAUGAACUAGGAGCCUUGGUUGGUGGAGGGUGGAGUACUCCACACAUUGGCAGUCCAGACAGUGCCCAGGCACUCUGGCUGCUGGAUCUUAACAGUCACUCUUUCCAGUGCCACUUUUGGCUUCAACAUUUUUAGUCAGUAGUCAAACGUGCUCAUCAAAGAUCCUCAGUUUCUCCAGGCAAAGGUGUAUUGGAGGACUACGCCAAACAUCAGAUCACAAAGAGGAGAUGUUGGCUGACCUCAGCUCAGGGCAGAAAUUCAGCCUGUGCAUCUUUGGAAGUGGGUCUUAAGUUUAGCCUGUCAAGGUCCUUAACCUGGUAGGGCUGGCAAUUCACUUCCUGUCUCUGUGAAUCCUUUACUGGGGAGUCUGAGAAGGCCUGAGGGGGGAUGUGUCAUGUACUUAAACCGUGCACUCUGACCUGGCCUGAUGAUGCGCCACUGCAGUUACAUUCUGCAGCAUAUGUGGCAAGACGGUCUGAGAACAGCCUGAGCUACAUGAUAAGUUCAAAGGCAGCUCAAGAUGUGUGUGUGUGUGCUAACCAGCCCAUGAUGAGACCACUGGGGAGAGCUAGGAGUUCCAGAGAAGGAGAAGGCCAGUGGGUGGUGAAAGC